This 85-nucleotide transfer RNA is filed under the name Kiritimatiellia bacterium. Its description in RNAcentral is "Kiritimatiellae bacterium (gut metagenome) tRNA-Leu". It matches the Rfam family "tRNA". From Rfam's summary of the family: Transfer RNA (tRNA) molecules are approximately 80 nucleotides in length. Their secondary structure includes four short double-helical elements and three loops (D, anti-codon, and T loops). Further hydrogen bonds mediate the characteristic L-shaped molecular structure. tRNAs have two regions of fundamental functional importance: the anti-codon, which is responsible for specific mRNA codon recognition, and the 3' end, to which the tRNAs corresponding amino acid is attached (by aminoacyl-tRNA synthetases). tRNAs cope with the degeneracy of the genetic code in two manners: having more than one tRNA (with a specific anti-codon) for a particular amino acid; and 'wobble' base-pairing, i.e. permitting non-standard base-pairing at the 3rd anti-codon position. The record is from RNAcentral. Lineage: Bacteria; Pseudomonadati; Kiritimatiellota; Kiritimatiellia.
GCCAGAGUGGUGAAAUGGCAGACACAUCGGACUUAAAAUCCGAAGCGGGUUAAACCGCGUGAGGGUUCGAUCCCCUCCUCUGGCA